AAAAACAUGGUGUAAAAGCUAAAUAUGUUCAUACAUACUUUAAAUCAAAUAACUAAAGUAUAAAAUUACUUUUACAAUGACACAUGGGUCCCCAACUAACCAAUAAGAUGCGAGUCUGUGAACCUACAAUUUUGUCGAUGCAAGGCUAACUGAAGUCUUUGAUGCAAUCGGCUAUCUACCGGCUAUCCUAAGCCUGAAAUGUGGGGAAUUGAGGGUGGUGAGAUUAUAAAAUCCCAGUAAGUAAACAGAUACCAUCUAAACUAUCUAAAGGCGAGUAAACGGAGACGAAUUAAAAUAUUCUUUUCCAAUAUAUGUUUCAUAACAUGAAUAUUCAGUUUACUCAAUUAAUCAACAUGGCUUAUAUAUCUCACAAAACUUGGCUCCUACCAAAAUAAUUCUCGCGGGUACAUUUGUCAAGGUAUCCCACUGAGACCGCCAAGGCUGUUAAAAAUUCAUAUUUCGCAUAAAACACAUUUUUCGUUGAACAUCACAGCCGUUCCUUGGCGUUGGCUGAGUCUCACUCUCACGUGGUGGUUAACGUGAAGUGCACUCAAAAAGCCCACCUCAGGAGAUACCCUACGCGCCUCUACAACCGAGGUGAGAAUAUAAAGGAGUUUACCGUGCCCCUCUAAUAGGCUGGUCCACGGAACCCCCCACCACUGCAGUAGCUAAUCUUUAAUCCACCAAUUGAUCAAAUC
RNAcentral lists this long non-coding RNA (698 nucleotides) under Theobroma cacao (cacao). RNAcentral's name for it is "long non-coding RNA (TCAC_LNC005291)". Lineage: Eukaryota; Viridiplantae; Streptophyta; Magnoliopsida; Malvales; Malvaceae. The record is from RNAcentral.